GAGGAGCCAGGCUCUUUCUGUCCUCCGCUUUGCUUCUUCAUGCAUUUAGGUCUUGUUUUCAGGCUUGCCCUUUUAUCAGCCCAGCUCCAGAGGUCAAGAUGGUUUUCAAAGGCAGGAAGCAGGAGGCCCGAGUGGGAACGAGGUCCAGGAGACCUUUCCCAGAAGCCUCCGGCAGCCUGCUCUCAUAGCGCAUUGGUCAGAGCUGACCACACAGCUGUCCUUUGCUCCAAGCGAUGCUGAGAAAGCCGCUCCGGAAGCAGAAGUCCCAGGGUUGGUUUCUUCUGAGGCCUCUCUCCUUGGCUCGGCUUGAAGAUGGCUGUCUUUUCUCUGGAUCUUUGCAAAGUCUUUCCCCUGUGCAUGUCUGUGUCCUAAGCUCCUCUUCUGGCAAAGGACCCUGCGGGCAGAGCAUCCCCUGCUGAGAACCCAAACCACUCCCUCAAGAACUGCCCUGAGCCAGCAACACCCCACCCACGAUCGACCUCCCCCAAGACAGGGACGGACCACACCUGUAUGGCCCACCUUCAGGUACCCACCAGCCUUUGUCCCGUUUUUUUUCCUUACACAAACCUGGACGUAUUUUCAGCGCUUUGGAGACAUCUUUGAGACACUGCUAUCUUCCUGGUGUCGGCC
Molecule: long non-coding RNA, 630 nt
Organism: Lynx canadensis (Canada lynx)
Lineage: Eukaryota; Metazoa; Chordata; Mammalia; Carnivora; Felidae
Exons: 3
Source: RefSeq, a predicted model, not a curated record